AUAAGCGGAGGAAAAGAAACCAACAGGGAUUGCCUCAGUAACGGCGAGUGAAGCGGCAAGAGCUCAAAUUUGAAAGCUGGCUCCUUCGGGGUCCGCAUUGUAAUUUGCAGAGGAUGCUUCGGGAGCGGCCCCCAUCUAAGUGCCCUGGAACGGGCCGUCAUAGAGGGUGAGAAUCCCGUCUGGGAUGGGGUGCCCGCGACCAUGUGAAGCUCCUUCGACGAGUCGAGUUGUUUGGGAAUGCAGCUCUAAAUGGGUGGUAAAUUUCAUCUAAAGCUAAAUAUUGGCCGGAGACCGAUAGCGCACAAGUAGAGUGAUCGAAAGAUGAAAAGCACUUUGAAAAGAGAGUUAAAAAGCACGUGAAAUUGUUGAAAGGGAAGCGCUUGCGACCAGACUCGCCCGCGGGGUUCAGCCGGUAUUCGUACCGGUGUACUUCCCCGCGGGCGGGCCAGCGUCGGUUUGGGCGGCCGGUCAAAGGCCCUCGGAAUGUAACGCCUCUCGGGGCGUCUUAUAGCCGAGGGUGCCAUGCGGCCAGCCCGGACCGAGGAACGCGCUUCGGCUCGGACGCUGGCAUAAUGGUCGUAAGUGACCCGUCUUGAAACACGGACCAAGGAGUCUAACAUCUACGCGAGUGUUCGGGUGGCAAACCCGUGCGCGCAGUGAAAGCGAACGGAGGUGGGAACCCUUUGGGUGCACCAUCGACCGAUCCUGAUGUCUUCGGAUGGAUUUGAGUAGGAGCGUAGCUGUUGGGACCCGAAAGAUGGUGAACUAUGCCUGAAUAGGGCGAAGCCAGAGGAAACUCUGGUGGAGGCUCGCAGCGGUUCUGACGUGCAAAUCGAUCGUCAAAUUUGGGUAUAGGGGCGAAAGACUAAUCGAACCAUCUAGUAGCUG
RNAcentral lists this ribosomal RNA (888 nucleotides) under Penicillium vallebormidaense. Its description in RNAcentral is "partial large subunit ribosomal RNA". It matches the Rfam family "Eukaryotic large subunit ribosomal RNA", at positions 46 to 953 of the family's 3401-position model. The record is from RNAcentral. Lineage: Eukaryota; Fungi; Ascomycota; Eurotiomycetes; Eurotiales; Aspergillaceae.